GACGAACGCUGGCGGCGUGCCUAACACAUGCAAGUCGAGCGAACAGACGAGGAGCUUGCCCCUCGGACGUUAGCGGCGGAGGGGUGAGUAACACGUGGAGAACAUACCUAUAAGAACGGGCUAACUACGUGAGACCAGCGCUAAUAAAGCGUAAUAUAUUGCACCGCAAAGCACAAUAGUAAAAGACGGAAUUGUCGACACUUAUAGAUGGAACCGCGCCGCAUUAGCUAGUUUGCAAGUUAACGGCUUACCAAGGUAACUAUGCGUAGCCGACCUGAGAGGGUGGUCGGCUACACUGGAACUGAGGCACAGUCCAGACUCCUACGGUAGGCAGCAGUCCGGAAUCUUCCGCGAUGGGGGAGUGCCUGACGGAGCAACGCCGCGUGAGUGAUGAUGCUCUUCGGAUCCUAGAACUCUGUUGUUUUUGAAGAACUAAUGUGUAAGUAAAUAUGCACGUAUUGACGGUACCUAAUCAGAAAGCCCCGGCUAACUACGUG
This 497-nucleotide ribosomal RNA is filed under the name uncultured bacterium. RNAcentral's name for it is "partial 16S ribosomal RNA". It matches the Rfam family "Bacterial small subunit ribosomal RNA", at positions 28 to 507 of the family's 1533-position model. The record is from RNAcentral.